CUGUCAUCACUUGUGCUGCUGUUAACACUCUGUCGAUCAUCAUCAUCACUCAGAGCAGUGGCGAUGUAUUCAGACAACCUCUUCUCCAUCAGGGCUACUCGUAUCCAGGCCCGACCCUGAAGGAGACAACAAAGUGAGCAGAGGGUGGAGUAUGGGCUAACAGCAUGAGACCUCAUGGAAACAAGGAGCUGCAGAAGGAGGAACCCCACAGUGUUUGACCAAAAAAAUGAUUGCAG
Molecule: long non-coding RNA, 236 nt
Organism: Micropterus dolomieu (smallmouth bass)
Lineage: Eukaryota; Metazoa; Chordata; Actinopteri; Centrarchiformes; Centrarchidae
Exons: 3
Source: RefSeq, a predicted model, not a curated record